CAAUUUUGUAUGGCUUUAUAAGUUUUAGAAGUUUUAUACUACUUAUUAAUUAUUUUUAUAUUUUUUCUAUUUCAGGAUUCAGUUUUUGUCUGUGACUCCCGACGGUUAUCUUUGGUAAGUCUGCAGUUUUGAGUUUGGAAAUUACCAUAUUUCUCUGUCUCUUUAAGCUUGAAGUUGUUGCAUUGUUCCCGUUCUUCCUGUUCUGAUCAAGUGGGACAUCGUUCUUCUAACCUGGUCUUCGGUUUCGCAAGAAAGAGGGGGAUUGUGGGAGACAC
Molecule: non-coding RNA, 275 nt
Organism: Pelobates cultripes (western spadefoot toad)
Lineage: Eukaryota; Metazoa; Chordata; Amphibia; Anura; Pelobatidae
Source: the annotation of a GenBank genome assembly